UGCAGUCGAACGAUGAACCUCCUUCGGGAGGGGAUUAGUGGCGAACGGGUGAGUAACACGUGGGCAAUCUGCCCUGCACUCUGGGACAAGCCCUGGAAACGGGGUCUAAUACCGGAUACUGACCCGCUUGGGCAUCCAAGCGGUUCGAAAGCUCCGGCGGUGCAGGAUGAGCCCGCGGCCUAUCAGCUUGUUGGUGAGGUAAUGGCUCACCAAGGCGACGACGGGUAGCCGGCCUGAGAGGGCGACCGGCCACACUGGGACUGAGACACGGCCCAGACUCCUACGGGAGGCAGCAGUGGGGAAUAUUGCACAAUGGGCGAAAGCCUGAUGCAGCGACGCCGCGUGAGGGAUGACGGCCUUCGGGUUGUAAACCUCUUUCAGCAGGGAAGAAGCGAAAGUGACGGUACCUGCAGAAGAAGCGCCGGCUAACUACGUGCCAGCAGCCGCGGUAAUACGUAGGGCGCGAGCGUUGUCCGGAAUUAUUGGGCGUAAAGAGCUCGUAGGCGGCUUGUCACGUCGGUUGUGAAAGCCCGGGGCUUAACCCCGGGUCUGCAGUCGAUACGGGCAGGCUAGAGUUCGGUAGGGGAGAUCGGAAUUCCUGGUGUAGCGGUGAAAUGCGCAGAUAUCAGGAGGAACACCGGUGGCGAAGGCGGAUCUCUGGGCCGAUACUGACGCUGAGGAGCGAAAGCGUGGGGAGCGAACAGGAUUAGAUACCCUGGUAGUCCACGCCGU
Molecule: ribosomal RNA, 732 nt
Filed under: Streptomyces sp. 11719
Lineage: Bacteria; Bacillati; Actinomycetota; Actinomycetes; Kitasatosporales; Streptomycetaceae
Description: bacterial SSU rRNA
Rfam family: Bacterial small subunit ribosomal RNA
Source: RNAcentral